Long non-coding RNA from Dreissena polymorpha, 135 nucleotides. RefSeq lists it as uncharacterized. The record is from RefSeq and is a predicted model, not a curated record. Lineage: Eukaryota; Metazoa; Mollusca; Bivalvia; Myida; Dreissenidae. The transcript has 2 exons.
AAAAUGGGUGUGGCGUGUAGAACUCAUCAAGGUGCAUCAACAUAUUAAGUUUCAAAGUUGUAGGUGGAAGUACUAUGAUGUUAGAGGCAAAGUUAAACUUUUAUAUUAGAGGUCACAGUGACCUUGACCUUUGAC